Molecule: long non-coding RNA, 4510 nt
Organism: Anguilla rostrata (American eel)
Lineage: Eukaryota; Metazoa; Chordata; Actinopteri; Anguilliformes; Anguillidae
Exons: 3
Source: RefSeq, a predicted model, not a curated record
UUAUGUGUUCAAAAAGGACAUUUGAUUAGCAGGUAUAAUAGUGAUAUUGAUAAUUCUCUCUCGCUGUCUCCCUCUCACAGGGGAAAGUGCGACACACUACCUCGUGAAGAACACAAUAAGAACCUUCAAGGAACUGGGGGUCCUGAAAGAGAGCCGCGAGAAGAAAGUCACGCUGCUGGAGGUCAGCAGCACCUUCCUACCUCAAGCAAACAGAACAAAGCUCCUUCAGUACAUCCUGGGUUUCAGCCUCUUGUAAAGCGUGACACACACACACACGCACGCGCACACACACGCAAAUAUGCGCACAUGCAAGUACACAAACACACAAAUACUCUGCAAAAAGGGCUUUUGCUGGCUAGUUAAAAAAAGGUGCUAUUCUAUGGCAAAGCUUUACCAGGAAGUGCCUUCAUAAAAUGAACUUACGGGAUAAUAGGCUUCUCUUCAGUCUUCCUCCGGAUUAGACAUUUAACACGUGACGUGCAGCUAAUCGCUCAGAGCAGUGCUUGUGCACCACCCGUAAUACCUGAAUGUACAUUUGAGCGUUUUCGCCAGUGAAAGCCCUAGCUUUUAAUCACUUUUUUUGUUUUAGCCAUGAGAAUGGGGUUUUAUUCAUCUCUGCUGUUUGUCCUCGCUCAAUAGGGCACGGAUGUCAUGCUUUGCACCCAGCAGGUUUCCUUCGCUGUGUCAAAAAAGUGAGGUGAGACCGCAGAUACACCACCGUCGGGAGAUGAUCGUGACGGUUACGAAUGGUGAUAAUGAACGGCGAUUAUCAAGGGCAUUUUAUUCUGUUUGCUUUUGAAGCAUGUGUCUAGGGGAGUAAAACAAAGUGCUUAAGGCUUAAGGAUUUCCAGUAUCGUGGAAACUCCAGGAACUGUAAGGCAGACGCUAAAUUUGAGGUCAUCUCACUCUCUGAGACGCUACAUUGUGUCUUGUGAGAGACUAGCUUUGCUUUCUGAGAAUUAGACAAAGAGUUCUAGAUAUUGUACUUGCCCACGUGGUAUUAGAUUCAGUUUGUGGCUGGGAUAUUAAUGUGGUGACAUCAGCUGCAGAGCAAAUAUGGUAUUCUCAGUGAUCUGUAGAAUUGUCCAUUGAAGAAAACAUUCAAGUUUGACUGCGCUAUCCCAUUAUUUCUACCCGUCUGUCGAGUGAUGUCAUUAUAGUUAACACCCAAAUAAUGCAUUACAUUCAGUCAACCUUGCCACAGUGUUACAUAAACAAUGUGUGUUGUUUGGGUGUACUUUCUAUCAGUGGUACAGCAGUACAAAAACAAUGUGAGUUUGUUAUAUGGUGGUGCAUUCUGUCAAUGUUGCUACAAUGUUACCUAAACGAUGUAAGUGUGCAGAUCAGAUUUAUAUUCUGUCAGCUUUGCUACAAUGCUGUGUAACCACCCAAACAGUUGUACAAUGCCGUUGGGUGUGACCUGUUAGCAUUUCUCAGCAAGUGCAAAAUGUGUAGGUUUCCAUUGAACAGUCAAUGUUGUGGUUCCUUUGUAUGUUUGAGAAGAGCGUGUUAGCAGCGUUGGGAUUUCUUUUCCAGUUUUAAAUGUGUCAGAGUAGCCUUACUGCGCUUCACUGUUGCAUUAAACAUUCUGUAGCUCCUGAAGAUGGAUGGAAUCGCUGAGAAAAGUCUAAACUUAACCCACAGCUUUCUGUCUUUUCAUUUUGCACUGUAUACUACGAGUUAAGUGUAGUACUCUUUGAUUGGUCAAAGUGUGAAAGGGAAGACUACAGGCGGACAUAAGGCGGACUGAAGCAAGUCAUUUGAUAAACUUGGCAUAGCCUCGUGUUGCUUAAGGCGGGCUAAAACUCCCAUGAAUGUGAAGUUUGAAGAUGCACAUUGUCCACAUAAGUACAACUUGUAGGAGGGCAUCAGCGCCACACAGUGAGGAGCCAGAUGGUCAAAAUUUUAAAACGUAGCCCCCUUUUUGUGUCCAAAAGAAAAAAGUUAUGUGUUAUAUUUUGUAACAUUGCUGUUGCAAUUUCGUUUCAGUUAUCACCACAACCGUGUAAGCUAUGGUAAACCUAGGUUACCCUCAGCUAACCCUAACUUGAAAAUAGGUAGUAAAUCAUUAGAAUAAUUGGAUUGGAUGAAGUGUACAUUUGAAUGUCGUAGAUGUGCCUGUGUAGUCAUUAGUGAUCUGUGAAAAUACUAUUUUUUUCCCCUUACAUCUAUUUCACUAAAUUAUGUCAGUAAAGGUUUGAGGCAACAUGGAAACUUGCAGUUUCAAUAACGAUAAUUGUUAUGCAUAAUGAUAAUAAUGAAAAUUAUUACACAUAAUAUGUUUAACCACAUGUUGACUCUCGGUUGCAAAAAGAGAUGUGAAAAUAGAUUUUUUUUCCCCCCCUGUUUCCCAGCUUGCUUCAGUAGGAAGGCUGUGAUAGGCUUUUGGUUGGUUUAAUGUUUGAUUUUUUUUUUUUUUUAAACACAAUAAACUGUAGGAAUACAAUGCCCAUAGGAUCCUGCAGGAAAAAAAAAAUUGUGAUUGAGCGAGGUUUGUCCUAUGACAUAUGCCUGCAUUUAUGUUUAGUACUGUGAAAUCCAUUAAAUAUUCAAAAAGAGUUUUCAGUACUGAUGUCCUUCGUUGACAAUAGCCCGCAUUUACAAAGGACUUUACUUUGUCAUUGAAGUGGGCCUGAUUGGAAGUCACUAAAAUCUGGACCUCACAAUAGUGAUUCCUUGAGCACAAUACCCAAUAAGCCCCCACCUGGGUUACAAACAUGUUUGUGUUUGUAAAACAGGAACCCAUUCUUCCAUAUUUUACCCUUAGAUAGAAGAGUAGGUUUUUGGAAUGCUUUCUGCAGAAUUAUAAAACAGUGUUCUAGAACUCCAUUGCUUUCAAUAACCACUAACAGUUGUUACAUCAGCUAUAGAAUGUUUUUGAUCUCACACCUUAGAAUUUACACCAAGCCAUAGUGCAACAAAAACUAUAAACUCGUUAGCUUUCGCCACUUGGUCUUGUCCCUGAAAAUGUUGUGAGAGUAAGUCCAUUAGGUUUCCAAAGGCUACCAAUUUAGUUCCACUGCACCAAGUGCCCAAAUGCUACCUGUUGUCACCAGUGAGAGCCAUGCUAAUCCUCUAGUUGCAGGUAGUGCAUGGAGUACACCUGUAGUGUGUGGCAAAAUCUCUGGCUUGUGCAAAAGCUUCAACUGCAGUUGUUCUUGCUAGGGGUACAGGUGACCGCACAUGGUUGGGGGUCACAACUGGAAAUUGAUUACAGAUUGAAACUGGGAGUAACAUUGGUCUGUGUGGGAGGGUUUCUGAUAAUUGGUAUGCCUGGAGAGCAUGAGCUUACCAUAGCAAUGUGUUAUCCCAUACUCGCAUUGUUGUCUAAGGGAAGGGUUGGUUUUGGUUUGAUGAAUGGUACUCAAGUUACUGAUGCUAUGCAACCUAUAUCCAUCAUGCAAAUCAUUUCUGCGAACUAAUCCAUCUUAUCUCAGCAAAAUGAUGAGCGUGCGCGUCCUCUUGACUUCUAGCAUAGUCUGCUGUUAACGUAUGGAACUGUUGUGUGGAUCCUGGGUCUCCGCAGAAGAACUUCACCACAUCCUUGAAACUUUGAACAGGGCAGGUUUAUUUCCCCUCACGGACAUACGGCCUGAUUUAUUGACACCUUUAGCAAAACCAACAACGCAACCAGUGAUUGGUCAUGGCAUUUGUUUUGCGCCAAUCAAUGGUUGUGUUAUUCAUUUUGCGAGUGCUAAAAUGUUUUGCACUUGCUGAAGGUUUCAGUAAGUCAGGCCCAUACUGGCUGGCUGAGAGCUGGAUUGAUGGAGUGAGUUGAACACUCGGCAGAGGGGUGUGAUAUUACUGAUCAAGCACGGGGGAGCGGUCAAUUAAACAAACUUUGGAAAAAAAUACACUCGUCUGCGUAUUUGCUGAAGGGACCUUUCUUGUCAACAGGCACGAAAAAAAAAACAACUGCAGUGCUCAUCUUGUUUCCUUAUGUAAUUAUUCUUGCACUUAAAAUUAAAAAGACAAAGCAAUAAUGAACUGUGUCCUUUUCUUAUAGCACAGACUCCAAACGCAUCAUGCAUACACAUGCUUUCGGCCUAUUAUGCACACACACACACAAAUUAAAUAGCACACACACAUGCACAUGCACUCACUGAACACACUCUAAACUGUAGGCAAAUAAUGUAUGAUGUAGUUAGUAAGUUGAAAAAGUCAUUUUAAUUUUGAGCUGAAAGGUUAGUGUGUGCUAAAUGGCAUUCUCUGGCAGCACAUGUGACCAAUCCAGUCUCUCGUCAUGUAAAGAGCUCUGGUCACAGUGAACGCGAGUCGCCCUGAAAACAAUGAUGUGUUCAUUCAUGCAGUCAAUUGUUGUUACAUUACAUUCUAUUAUUUUAAUCUUCAGAAAAUGAACUGCUGUGUCAAUGUUACCUUUUCUCUGCAUGGUUAAAAAAAAGCGCUGUAAGGUAACCCUGAAACAAAAAGAGCUGUACCUCUGAUUACAGAAUCAUGGUGACGCACAUGUAUGUUUUUGUUUGGUUUUGUUUUAAAUGGGUUUAUUCAU